CUGGUAAACGUCUGAGUCGAUCGAACACGACCCAGGAAAAUUUGGUAAAGGUGAUCAAACACACCUUCAGGUUUAACCUGCAAAUAACACAAAGCCAAGCAUAGAAUGGAGGUGAAGAAGGGGAGAAAGCACUUUAUCUCCCCCGAGUUAUUUGAACUUCGGAAAUUAUACCUUUGUUACGUACCUUUGCUUAAACUUGACAAGAUAUCGGUUUUGCAAAGAUGUUGUUGAAGGUAAACCAAAAAUCGACGGCAGGGGCCGGAUUUCUACUACGGUUGGUGGAUGACGGCGGCGGCCGGCAGAGAAGCGGCCGAUGACGGAAUGCAAGGCAGCCAGGGAGCGGUGGCCAAGGAGCAGUCGGUGGAGCCGAGGGGGCCUGGGGUUUUGGUGAAGAAAAAAAACGGGAACUAUUAGCUCAAGGGUUGAGCCACAAACUGAUAACGUGAUUUAGUGAGAGUUAUUUUAGAGAUAAUCAUGAAAGAGAGAUAUCUUAUUCAUUGAUAGGAGCCCCUUUAUAUAGAGAAUUACAAAGUACCAAACCGGUAAGAUAAGGAAUACAUAAUCAUAUUCUAACUACAUAUCCUAUUGGCAUAAGACCAAGGCACAUAUAAAGAAUAUUCUAGAACAAUAUCGAAAUUUUAAGGAGGGAUCUGGGCCUUCAGGAUAAAUUAGGGCAAAGUACAUCGUUUGUUGUCCACAAGGUCGGUUUACUUCUCAAUGUAAAAGAAAGAAACAAAAAAAAAACAAAAACAAAAAAAAAAUUUCCUAAACACAUGUAAAAACUUUUAGGAACAAUACAUCAACUUCACAUCUGAUAAUGAAAGUUUCUCAACUUUUAGAAAUAACACAUCGGUUAUCAUAACAAUCUCGUCAUCAUUUUCAAAAACGUUGUUUAUAACUUAUCUGUUAAGUAGCUCGUUUAGUAUGUAAGGAUUUCUACCUUAUGAAACUUUGAAUGUUAUCUAUGGUUGUAAUUUCACAUUUUAAUUUUCAAGAUCAAUUUGUUUGGGGUUUCACUGGACUUUGAACUUUACAAUCAAAUCAGCUUCUAGUUUACUUCAGUCUCAUACACCUGCACAUAUUAAAGUUGACAUUUUGAUCGAAAGUCAAAAGUUUUUGCUUGGCAACUUAUUAGAGACAAACUACUCACUAUUGAUUUAUUCUCAAAACACAAAGAACCCCUAAAGCCGCGAGAAAAGCCCUUAUUGUCUGGUGGCGAUCGAUGACAUCGUUGGCGUUCGCCACGUUUUUGUAAGGUUUGCUGCCAGACAGGACUCUAAUUGCCCUGGGAGGAGGUUUAGAAGACAAGGUUGUCGAACCCAUGGCUUUUGGCAAAGAUUUGAUUAUAGGUACUAUGGGCUUCAUCUCUUGGCGUUGAGGAUGGGUUUAUGUGUCGGCUUUGAAUCGUUGUCGUAGGCUGUUGGAGGUUUGGGGUAGGGUGCUGCAGCGGUGUCUGCCCAAGCGGCGCUGAACCUCAGUGACAACGCUUGUGAGAGCGAUUUUAGGGUGGUUUGUUGCGAGACCGGUGGAGACGGUGGUUGUUGUGGACGGCGGCACUACGGAACUGCAUUUGUUGCUGUUCAGGCGGCUGGGGGGUGGUGGAGAUGGUGUUUGGGGCUUGGGCAAAUUCGUUCUUGUUGGGCCUGUGUUGGGCUUCUUCCUCUUCAGGCUGUCUUGAGGCUUGCUAAUUAGGGCUAGGGUUUUGCCUUAGUCAUUUUAAGUAUUUAAACACAAUAAUUUCCUAGUUUUUGGAACCUAAGCAUAUGUCGUGCCUCAUGUGUCUUGUAGCGGUGUGAGUCUAUUUUUUCUACAGUUCUUUUUCUAUUUUUCUAGUUUGGACUUUGGCAGAUAAUUAAUCUAUUUCCUAUGUGAUUAUAGGCUCAUUUGUGUUUUUAAAUGAGCGGAAUUGUGUAAGGAGGGUAUUAUCCUAAGUGAAUCACUCGAUCUAUAUGCAUGAUAGUUGAUCGAUUCAUGAUGUAACCUCUAUUUGCGAUUGAGUGAAAUAUCUUCCACUCAAACAAAAAAAAGCCAACGUUUAUUCUCAAUUUAUUCAUGAUCGUUCUUAUCAUCCUAUCACAUUCAUUUAGAAAUUGUGGUCUAUUUAUUUUUUUGUGUCCUUUUAUUGUUGCUAUUUGGAUUCACUCUAGUAUAUCCUUUGAUUCUAGUUAUUGCAAUAAUAAAUUUAUUUCCCUUCCGCUCCAGAAAUCAAGAAAAAAAAAAUCCCAACUCGAUACAGUUAUACCCAAAAACUCAAAUUCUUCAUAGUUCUUCUCCUGCAAAAUAGCCAGAAAAACUAGUCCGGUCUUGCGCCAAAUCGCAUUCCUGACAUGAUGCAAAUCCGUACCUUUGACAGUCCUUCCGCCACCGAAAACGUGGUCGUCGCCGACACUCUCAACUCCCUCGUCACUAGCUCAUGCGGCGGGAGCGCAUCUCCUCCUCCCAACCCUUGUCAUCGUCAUCUACCACGUUAGCAAGAUCGUCGAGGUUUCUGCCUCGUUGCAUCAUCAACGCCUUGGAUAGCAUCGGUACCUUCGUCGGCGCCGAGUGUUGCUGGAACCUUAUGGAAGGCACCGAUUGACCCCGCCACCGUCAGAGGGUUGACUCUGUGCAGAUGGCCUUGGAAUCGAAGGGAUGGGCUUGGAAGGGGAGGAGAGUGAGGGUUUGCGGUAGAGGACUUGGGUCACGCAAUCGGACUUUAGUAUGAUUGCAAGGAUUCCAGACUUUUGGGGGCGGGUGAAGCUGACGCGGUGGUUGGUGGUGGUGGUGAUCGAAGGAGACGUCGCCGCACUCCACCCAUAACAGGCGGCGUACACUAGGUUGAAAUUAGGGUUGGAUAGGGAAUAGAGAUUUUGAUUUUAGGGGUGGUGUCGAUGGUUAUUGUAACGUGAGAGAGUGGGUGUGAGUUUGGCAAAUAUGGAGAGCUUGGAGGGCUGGCCAUGGCCGGAGGUGCAGAGAAGCACGAGGAAAGAUUGAGAGGCAAUGAAGAAGAAAAAAGAAAAAAAGAGAAAAAAAAUAUAGAGAUAAAAAGUUAUUGUGAUAAGGGGUAGUUUGGAUUUUUUAUCUAAAUUAAUGAUUAAAAAUUAGACAUGGGUCCCUUGUGUUUUCUUAAGCCGGAUGAUGACGUCAUUAUUAGACCAAAUUUGAAAAUUUUCUCUGUUUUAAUGGAUUUUGAGAGUUUAUGGGUACACGUGAUGGAAAAAAAAAGAAUGAAAGGCACAACUGAUGAGUGACCUAAAGUUCAAAGUAGCACACUAAAUUUAAUCAUUUUUCAUAAUAAAAAAAAAAUGAAAGAGUAUAUAUAGAUACUUUGAGAAUAUAAAUUGAGAAAUUAAUAUUGUUAAAAGUUUCAUUCAUUUGAAUUUUAAACAUUAUUUAUUUUUAUUUUUAUGUAUUUUAUCAAUUAUUAAUAUUUAUAUAUAUUUAAUUAAUUAAUUAUUACUUUAUAUAUUUGUUGGGACAUAAAGAGAG
Molecule: long non-coding RNA, 3468 nt
Filed under: Fragaria vesca (wild strawberry)
Lineage: Eukaryota; Viridiplantae; Streptophyta; Magnoliopsida; Rosales; Rosaceae
Description: long non-coding RNA (FVES_LNC001761)
Source: RNAcentral